This 497-nucleotide ribosomal RNA is filed under the name uncultured bacterium. Its description in RNAcentral is "partial 16S ribosomal RNA". It matches the Rfam family "Bacterial small subunit ribosomal RNA", at positions 28 to 507 of the family's 1533-position model. The record is from RNAcentral.
GAUGAACGCUGGCGGCGUGCCUAAUACAUGCAAGUCGAGCGAACAGACGAGGAGCUUGCUCCUCUGACGUUAGCGGCGGACGGGUGAGUAAAACGUGGAUAACCUACCUAUAAGACUGGGAUAACUUCGGGAAACCGGAGCUAAUACCGGAUAAUAUAUUGAACCGCAUGGUUCAAUAGUGAAAGACGGUUUUGCUGUCACUUAUAGAUGGAUCCGCGCCGCAUUAGCUAGUUGGUAAGGUAACGGCUUACCAAGGCAACGAUGCGUAGCCGACCUGAGAGGGCGAUCGGCCACACUGGAACUGAGACACGGUCCAGACUCCUACGGGAGGCAGCAGUAGGGAAUCUUCCGCCAUGGGCGAAAGCUUGACGGAGCAACGCCGCGUGAGUGAUGAAGGUCUUCGGAUCGUAAACCUCUGUUAUUAGGGAAGAACAAAUGUGUAAGUAACUAUGCACGUCUUGACGGUACCUAAUCAGAAAGCCACGGCUAACUACGUG